CAUGCUGCCUAGAAAAGCCCAGCAGCGAGUUGACAUGGUGCCCGUACCCCAAACCAACACAGGUGGACAGGUAGAGCAUACCAAGGCGAGUGGGAUAACUAUGGUUAAGGAACUCGGCAAAUUGCCUCCGUAACUUCGGGAGAAGGAGGACCCCAGUAGCGUGAUGAGACUUGCUCUCUGAGCGUGAAGGGGUGGCACAAAAUUGAGGGAAGCGACUGUUUACCAAAAACACAGCAGCGUGCUAAGCCGUAAGGCGCUGUAUACGCUGUGACUCCUGCCCGGUGCUGGAAGGUUACGGGGAUGGGUUAGUCCUUCGGGACGAAGCUCUGAACCUAAGCCCCAGUAAACGGCGGCCGUAACUAUAACGGUCCUAAGGUAGCGAAAUUCCUUGUCGGGUAAGUUCCGACCUGCGCGAAUGGAGUAACGACUUCCCUACUGUCUCAACCAUAGACCCAGCGAAAUUGAAGUACGAGUAAAGAUGCUCGUUAGCUGCAGAAGGACGGAAAGACCCCGUGGACCUUUACUAUAACUUGAUGUUGUGUUUUGUCAUAUGUUGUGUAGGAUAAGUGGGAGACUUGGAAGCAUGGACGCUAGUCUGUGUGGAGUCAUCGUUGAAAUACCACCCUGCAUAUGGUGAGGCUCUAACCUAGACCCGUUAUCCGGGUUGGGGACAGUGUCAGGCGGGUAGUUUAACUGGGGCGGUUGCCUCCUAAAGAGUAACGGAGGCGCCCAAAGGUUCCCUCAGCCUGGUUGGCAAUCAGGCGUUGAGUGCAAUGGCAAAAGGGAGCUUGACUGCGAGACCUACAAGUCGGGCAGGAGCGAAAGCUGGGCAUAGUGAUCCGGCGGUUGCGUGUGGAAGCGCCGUCGCUCAACGGAUAAAAGGUACCCCGGGGAUAACAGGCUAAUCUUGCCCAAGCGUCCAUAGCGACGGCAAGGUUUGGCACCUCGAUGUCGGCUCAUCGCAUCCUGGGGCUGAAGCAGGUCCCAAGGGUUGGGCUGUUCGCCCAUUAAAGCGGUACGCGAGCUGGGUUCAGAACGUCGUGAGACAGUUCGGUCCCUAUCCUCUGCAGCCGGAGGUGAAUUGAGGAAAGCUGUCCCUAGUACGAGAGGACCGGGACGGACGCAGCUCUCGUGUGCCAGUUGUCCUGCCAAGGGCAUGGCUGGUUAGCGACCUGCGGAAAGGAUAACCGCUGAAAGCAUCUAAGCGGGAAGCCUCUUCCAAGAUGAAUUCACCCACAGGGUUAACCUGGUAAGGCCCGUGGUAGACCACCACGUUGAUAGGCCGGAAGUGUAAGCGUGGCAACACGUUCAGCUGACCGGUACUAAUCGGCCGAGGGCUUGAGUUG
Molecule: ribosomal RNA, 1346 nt
Filed under: metagenome
Description: bacterial LSU rRNA
Rfam family: Bacterial large subunit ribosomal RNA
Source: RNAcentral